RNAcentral lists this microRNA precursor (110 nucleotides) under Myotis lucifugus (little brown bat). RNAcentral describes it as "miRNA (ENSMLUG00000030505.1)". Lineage: Eukaryota; Metazoa; Chordata; Mammalia; Chiroptera; Vespertilionidae. The record is from RNAcentral.
ACGUAUAUAUGUAAACAUGUAUGUGUUUAUGUAUAUACACAUAUAUACAUAUAUAUAAUAUAUAUGUAUAUAUAUAUACACACACAUAUAUAUGUGUAUAUAUAUAUAUA